This 492-nucleotide ribosomal RNA is filed under the name uncultured bacterium. RNAcentral's name for it is "partial 16S ribosomal RNA". It matches the Rfam family "Bacterial small subunit ribosomal RNA", at positions 29 to 507 of the family's 1533-position model. The record is from RNAcentral.
AGUGAACGCUGGCGGUAGGCCUAACACAUGCAAGUCGAACGGCAGCACAGUAAGAGCUUGCUCUUACGGGUGGCGAGUGGCGGACGGGUGAGGAAUACAUCGGAAUCUACUUUUUCGUGGGGGAUAACGUAGGGAAACCUACGCUAAUACCGCAUACGACCUACGGGUGAAAGCAGUGGAUCUUCUGACCUUGCGCGAUUGAAUGAGCCGAUGUCGGAGUAGCUAGUUGGCGGGGUAAAGGCCCACCCAGGCGACGAUACGUAGCUGGUCUGAGAGGAUGAUCAGCCACAUUGGAACUGAGACACGGUCCAGACUCCUACGGGAGGCAGCAGUGGGGAAUAUUGGACAAUGGGCGCAAGCCUGAUCCAGCCAUACCGAGUGGGUGAAGAAGGCCUUCGGGUUGUAAAGCCCUUUUGUUGGGAAAGAAAAGCAGCAGGUUAAUACCCCGCUGUUCUGACGGUACCCAAAGAAUAAGCACCGGCUAACUUCGUG